This 171-nucleotide ribosomal RNA is filed under the name Caranx lugubris (black jack). Its description in RNAcentral is "partial 12S rRNA". The record is from RNAcentral. Lineage: Eukaryota; Metazoa; Chordata; Actinopteri; Carangiformes; Carangidae.
CACCGCGGUUAUACGAGAGGCUCAAGUUGACAGACUACGGCGUAAAGCGUGGUUAAGGGAUAUAUACAUAACUAAAGCGGAACCUCCUCCUAGCUGUUAUACGCUUCCGAGGAAAUGAACUCCGACUACGAAAGUGGCUUUACCUAACCUGAACCCACGAAAGCUAAGAAA